UUUUAUGGAGAGUUUGAUCCUGGCUCAGGAUGAACGCUGGCGGCGUGCCUAAUACAUGCAAGUCGAGCGAACAGACGAGGAGCUUGCUCCUCUGACGUUAGCGGCGGACGGGUGAGUAACACGUGGAUAACCUACCUAUAAGACUGGGAUAACUUCGGGAAACCGGAGCUAAUACCGGAUAAUAUAUUGAACCGCAUGGUUCAAUAGUGAAAGACGGUUUUGCUGUCACUUAUAGAUGGAUCCGCGCCGCAUUAGCUAGUUGGUAAGGUA
This 270-nucleotide ribosomal RNA is filed under the name Staphylococcus epidermidis. RNAcentral's name for it is "partial 16S ribosomal RNA". It matches the Rfam family "Bacterial small subunit ribosomal RNA", at positions 1 to 259 of the family's 1533-position model. The record is from RNAcentral. Lineage: Bacteria; Bacillati; Bacillota; Bacilli; Caryophanales; Staphylococcaceae.